UCAACUUGAGAGUUUGAUCCUGGCUCAGAACGAACGCUGGCGGCAGGCCUAACACAUGCAAGUCGAGCGCGCCCUUCGGGGUGAGCGGCGGACGGGUGAGUAACGCGUGGGAACGUACCCUCUUCUGCGGAAUAGCCACUGGAAACGGUGAGUAAUACCGCAUACGCCCUUUUGGGGAAAGAUUUAUCGGAGGAGGAUCGGCCCGCGUUGGAUUAGGUAGUUGGUGGGGUAAUGGCCUACCAAGCCUACGAUCCAUAGCUGGUUUUAGAGGAUGAUCAGCCACACUGGGACUGAGACACGGCCCAGACUCCUACGGGAGGCAGCAGUGGGGAAUCUUAGACAAUGGGCGCAAGCCUGAUCUAGCCAUGCCGCGUGAGUGACGAAGGCCCUAGGGUCGUAAAGCUCUUUCGCCUGUGAUGAUAAUGACAGUAGCAGGUAAAGAAACCCCGGCUAACUCCGUGCCAGCAGCCGCGGUAAUACGGAGGGGGUUAGCGUUGUUCGGAAUUACUGGGCGUAAAGCGCGCGUAGGCGGAUUGGAAAGUUGGGGGUGAAAUCCCAGGGCUCAACCCUGGAACUGCCUCCAAAACUUCCAGUCUGGAGUUCGAGAGAGGUGAGUGGAAUUCCGAGUGUAGAGGUGAAAUUCGUAGAUAUUCGGAGGAACACCAGUGGCGAAGGCGGCUCACUGGCUCGAUACUGACGC
RNAcentral lists this ribosomal RNA (700 nucleotides) under Alphaproteobacteria bacterium HGW-Alphaproteobacteria-1. Its description in RNAcentral is "bacterial SSU rRNA". It matches the Rfam family "Bacterial small subunit ribosomal RNA", at positions 1 to 746 of the family's 1533-position model. The record is from RNAcentral. Lineage: Bacteria; Pseudomonadati; Pseudomonadota; Alphaproteobacteria.